This 257-nucleotide small RNA is filed under the name Pan troglodytes (chimpanzee). RNAcentral describes it as "processed transcript". Lineage: Eukaryota; Metazoa; Chordata; Mammalia; Primates; Hominidae. The record is from RNAcentral.
UGUCGCCCAGGCUGGAGUGCACUGGCGCGAUCUCGGCUCACUGCAAGCUCCACCUCCCGGGUUCACGCCAUUCUCCUGCCUCAGCCUCCCGAGUAGCUGGGACUACAGGUGUCCUGGGGAAGUGUCGCUACGUUUACUAUGGGAAAAACUCAGAGGGCAACAGGUUUAUCCGAGAUGACCAGCUCUGAAGCCAACUUCUGUAUACCUUCACCCAUUUCAUGAAAAUAAAAUCAAAAGGGAAAUCAAAAAUAAAGAAA